CUUUAGUUUAGCAAUUCUGUUACACACUUGCUCCUUUCUGCAUCAUACUUGCUCCUAGACACUACACACUACUUCAUAAAUAAGACACUUAUUCUCAGGGUACCAUUGGAAAAACACAUCUAUUCAAAAUACAACACACAUUGGUUAAUUGAAAAAACGUAGACACACACCUGAAAACACUUACUUACAAAAUUGAACACCAAUCAGCAAGCUACAAAAAGGCGGAAGGAGGAAGAGGAAGACAGAGAAAGAGAGGAGGACGUGAUCGAAGAGGCCAUGCAAGGGCCAUUAUUUCGGGUUUGACAUAAGAGCAACUUUGGUGCACCAUGUCAUAAACCUUCGCCUGACUAUGAGGGAAGAUGGGAAGAGAGUCCACACUAAUGUAAGGACUUUCAUAGUUUCAUCCAUAAUAAGGACAUUCCGACAGGAAAACAGAAUGGCUAGAAGACCUACUGGGGGUGGACGGUGGUGCCUGUUCACCCAACAGCAGUAUCUUGCCAUAGUGAACCUAGUCAGAGCAAACACUGCAAUCCGUCUCCACCAGCUACAGCCACAAAUACUUGCAGAUAGGCAAGUAUUCAACAACAUAAAUCGAGUAAGCAUUACCACUAUCAGACGCAUCUUGGUAAAGCACAACAUGACUGUGAAGCAAUUGUAAAGGGUCCCAUUUGAGAGGAACAGUGUUGGGGUCAAAGAACUUCAACAUGAAUAUGUACAGAGAAUCUUGGACAUGGAUGGAGCUGGCCAGCCGCAUGAAUGUAUUUAUAUUGACGAGGCUGGAUUCAACCUUAGCAAAAACAGACGAUAGGGAUGCCAAAGGGCAAUGGUGCACGUCCCGGGGCAGCGCGGGGGAAAUAUCACAUUGUGUGCUGCCCUAAGUCUUCGAGGACUACUGCACCAUCAUGCCAAACUGGGUCCCUAUAAUGCACAACACAUAAUCACAUUUCUAGAUGCACUUUAUGAUGCACAGGAUUGUACAGGAUGGACCAGAGCAGCCCAGGUUUGUUGUUGUCUGGGAAAAUGUUAGUUUCCGUCGGGCUGCUCUGGUCCAGAACUGGUUCACCAACCAUUAUCAGUUUGAAGUUUUAUACUUGCCCCCUUACUCGCCAUUUCUAAAUCCUAUAGAGGAAUUUAUCUCCACUUGGAGAUAGCAGGUAUAUGACCCAACCACAUGCCCGUAUGCCUCUUCUGCAGGCAAUGGAACAGGCCUGCGGAGACAUUGAAUUAAGGUCAAUCCAGGGAUGGGUUCGGCGCACAAGGGGAUUUUUUUCCCCCAUGCUUAGCGAGAGAAGACAUUACUUGUGAUGUUGAUGAGAGCCUGUGGCCAGACCCAAACAGACGGCAGGAUCCAUAAGCCCACUUUCGCAGAAUUGUAUUUUUCUGUUUUUACUGUAGUAUAUUGUUUGUUUUUUUAUUUUUGCUUUAACUGAAUUUACUGUACUGUAAAAUAUACUAAUGUAAUGAUUUUGAAUUGAGUAUUUCAUUUUUUGGUUGUGAAAACAUGCCCUCUGUGGAA
Micropterus dolomieu (smallmouth bass) is the source of this 1516-nucleotide long non-coding RNA. RefSeq lists it as uncharacterized. The transcript has 3 exons. The record is from RefSeq and is a predicted model, not a curated record. Lineage: Eukaryota; Metazoa; Chordata; Actinopteri; Centrarchiformes; Centrarchidae.